CUCACUGUCUUCAGUCACUAUUUACACACCAGAGGACACUAUUUACACACUAUUUACAAGUCAGUUUAUCAGUUUUAAUUCAACAACUUCCUUCUUUUGGCAGCCAGCUGUGUCAAUCUUUGAACAGCUUUCCUCUUCAGUUCCUGUUGUCUUCUUUCUGCAUCUUGGCAGCCCCUCUCAUAUUCACACACAGAUUUCUGUCAACUGGUGUGUGCAGUUUCGCUAGCUCCUUUGCAGUAUGGAUAAUAACAGGCACCAAUGACAAGGGAAGGCUGUGCUCAGCAAGAACUCCAAGAACCAGUGCCUGAAAAAAAUUUAACUCCAUUAAAGAAAUGUCUUUGCAACAGAA
Hippocampus comes (tiger tail seahorse) is the source of this 349-nucleotide long non-coding RNA. RefSeq lists it as uncharacterized. NCBI's taxonomy places the organism in Eukaryota, Metazoa, Chordata, Actinopteri, Syngnathiformes, Syngnathidae. The transcript is spliced from 2 exons. The record is from RefSeq and is a predicted model, not a curated record.